RNAcentral lists this ribosomal RNA (111 nucleotides) under Caerostris darwini. The record is from RNAcentral. Lineage: Eukaryota; Metazoa; Arthropoda; Arachnida; Araneae; Araneidae.
AUGGCCAUACCAUGCUGAAUAUACCGGUUCUCGUUAGAUCACCGAAGUCAAGCAUCAUUGGGCGUGGUCAGUACUUGGGUGGGUGACCACCUGGGAACACCGUGUGCCGUU